This 252-nucleotide ribosomal RNA is filed under the name uncultured Bacteroidales bacterium. RNAcentral's name for it is "partial 16S ribosomal RNA". It matches the Rfam family "Bacterial small subunit ribosomal RNA", at positions 524 to 776 of the family's 1533-position model. The record is from RNAcentral. Lineage: Bacteria; Pseudomonadati; Bacteroidota; Bacteroidia; Bacteroidales.
UACGGAGGAUGCGAGCGUUAUCCGGAUUUAUUGGGUUUAAAGGGUGCGUAGGCGGUUUUUUAAGUUAGUGGUUAAACGUCGGGGCUUCACCUUGAUUUGCCAUUAAUACUGUAAGACUCGAGUUGGAGAGAAGUAUGCGGAAUGCGCGGUGUAGCGGUGAAAUGCAUAGAUAUCGCGCAGAACUCCGAUUGCGAAGGCAGCAUGCCGGCUCCACACUGACGCUGAGGCACGAAAGCGUGGGUAUCGAACAGG